This is a non-coding RNA of Tulasnella sp. 417, 114 nucleotides long. NCBI's taxonomy places the organism in Eukaryota, Fungi, Basidiomycota, Agaricomycetes, Cantharellales, Tulasnellaceae. The record is from the annotation of a GenBank genome assembly.
GGCCGUCUGGCGCAAUGGCAGCGCGUCCGCCUACGAUGCAAUUUCAUGUCCUGUUCAGGGAUUGAACCUGCAAUCGAGAGCGGGAGGCUGCAGGUUCAACCCCUGCGUCGGUCA